GAUGAACGCUGGCGGCGUGCCUAAUACAUGCAAGUCGAGCGAACGGACGAGAAGCUUGCUUCUCUGAUGUUAGCGGCGGACGGGUGAGUAACACGUGGAUAACCUACCUAUAAGACUGGGAUAACUUCGGGAAACCGGAGCUAAUACCGGAUAAUAUUUUGAACCGCAUGGUUCAAAAGUGAAAGACGGUCCUGCUGUCACUUAUAGAUGGAUCCGCGCUGCAUUAGCUAGUUGGUAAGGUAACGGCUUACCAAGGCAACGAUGCAUAGCCGACCUGAGAGGGUGAUCGGCCACACUGGAACUGAGACACGGUCCAGACUCCUACGGGAGGCAGCAGUAGGGAAUCUUCCGCAAUGGGCGAAAGCCUGACGGAGCAACGCCGCGUGAGUGAUGAGGGUCUUCGGAUCGUAAAACUCUGUUAUUAGGGAAGAACAUAUGUGUAAGUAACUGUGCACAUCUUGACGGUACCUAAUCAGAAAGCCACGGCUAACUACGUG
RNAcentral lists this ribosomal RNA (497 nucleotides) under uncultured bacterium. Its description in RNAcentral is "partial 16S ribosomal RNA". It matches the Rfam family "Bacterial small subunit ribosomal RNA", at positions 28 to 507 of the family's 1533-position model. The record is from RNAcentral.